RNAcentral lists this small RNA (42 nucleotides) under Arabidopsis thaliana (thale cress). RNAcentral describes it as "ATSL231280". The record is from RNAcentral. Lineage: Eukaryota; Viridiplantae; Streptophyta; Magnoliopsida; Brassicales; Brassicaceae.
AUUAGUUUACUCCUAUCUUCAGCUUCCGCAAGAUCUGUGUUU